GGGGCCGUAGCUCAGUUGGGAGAGCGGUUGCUUUGCAAGCAUCAGGUCGUCGGUUCGAUCCCGUCCGGCUCCACCA
Molecule: transfer RNA, 76 nt
Filed under: Methylobacterium amylolyticum
Lineage: Bacteria; Pseudomonadati; Pseudomonadota; Alphaproteobacteria; Hyphomicrobiales; Methylobacteriaceae
Description: tRNA-Ala
Rfam family: tRNA
About the family: Transfer RNA (tRNA) molecules are approximately 80 nucleotides in length. Their secondary structure includes four short double-helical elements and three loops (D, anti-codon, and T loops).
Source: RNAcentral